Molecule: long non-coding RNA, 402 nt
Filed under: Naja naja (Indian cobra)
Lineage: Eukaryota; Metazoa; Chordata; Lepidosauria; Squamata; Elapidae
Description: lncRNA (ENSNNAG00000018249.1)
Source: RNAcentral
CCACUUUUUUUAAAUCAGGUAAAUAUAUUUACACUUUAAAGGAUCUCCAAUACAAUACAUUCUGUAAUGCAGUUUCUGAGAAAUUUUGUGAACUUCACUGGGAAGAAAAAUUAUUAGCAAAUCUUUAUGGUGCAGCAAAUGGUGAAACGUCUGUACCUGAAAGAAUUAAUGAACCACAAUAUUUGAGCAAGACUUUCCAAAGCAAACCACAUACUUCUCUGAGUGGCAGUGAGGAAGCAAAAGGUAUGAAACAGUUAGUGGGCACGCCUUACAUUCAAUGAUACUAAUGUCCAUAAACCUGCAGCAGUUAAGCUGUGAAGUAAUAACCUUUAUGUCCUACUAGAUAUAAGGAGAAGAAGAGCAAUGGGGAUUUUCAAAUAAAGAUUUAUAUCCUUGGAAAAC